GGGCAGGAUGUGUGAAGUAGGCCCACCCGCAAGCGGGUUGUCCUUCUUCACGUCCCCUUAUUCGCGCCGGGGGCGCUCAACGGGGCAUCCUGCUCUGCGAGGCU
Molecule: non-coding RNA, 104 nt
Organism: Pseudomonas aeruginosa
Lineage: Bacteria; Pseudomonadati; Pseudomonadota; Gammaproteobacteria; Pseudomonadales; Pseudomonadaceae
Source: Rfam